Molecule: non-coding RNA, 23 nt
Filed under: Drosophila melanogaster (fruit fly)
Lineage: Eukaryota; Metazoa; Arthropoda; Insecta; Diptera; Drosophilidae
Source: RNAcentral
UUUGCGAUCUGCCUCUAUGCUUG